RNAcentral lists this ribosomal RNA (538 nucleotides) under Bifidobacterium catenulatum. Its description in RNAcentral is "bacterial SSU rRNA". It matches the Rfam family "Bacterial small subunit ribosomal RNA", at positions 161 to 711 of the family's 1533-position model. Lineage: Bacteria; Bacillati; Actinomycetota; Actinomycetes; Bifidobacteriales; Bifidobacteriaceae. The record is from RNAcentral. RNAcentral also lists the same sequence under 1 other name.
UGGUAAUGCCGGAUGCUCCGACUCCUCGCAUGGGGUGUCGGGAAAGAUUUCAUCGGUAUGGGAUGGGGUCGCGUCCUAUCAGGUAGUCGGCGGGGUAACGGCCCACCGAGCCUACGACGGGUAGCCGGCCUGAGAGGGCGACCGGCCACAUUGGGACUGAGAUACGGCCCAGACUCCUACGGGAGGCAGCAGUGGGGAAUAUUGCACAAUGGGCGCAAGCCUGAUGCAGCGACGCCGCGUGCGGGAUGACGGCCUUCGGGUUGUAAACCGCUUUUGAUCGGGAGCAAGCCUUCGGGUGAGUGUACCUUUCGAAUAAGCACCGGCUAACUACGUGCCAGCAGCCGCGGUAAUACGUAGGGUGCAAGCGUUAUCCGGAAUUAUUGGGCGUAAAGGGCUCGUAGGCGGUUCGUCGCGUCCGGUGUGAAAGUCCAUCGCUUAACGGUGGAUCUGCGCCGGGUACGGGCGGGCUGGAGUGCGGUAGGGGAGACUGGAAUUCCCGGUGUAACGGUGGAAUGUGUAGAUAUCGGGAAGAACACCA